AUUCUCCUGCCUCAGCCUCCCGAGCAGCUGGGACUACAGGCACCCGCCACCAAGCCCGGCUAGUUUUUUGUAUUUUUUUAGUAGAGACGGCGUUUCACUGUGUUAGCCAGGAUGGUCUCGAUCUCCUGACCUCGUGAUCCACCCACCUCGGCCUCCCAAAGUGCUGGGACCACAAGCGUGAGCUACUGCAGCCGGCCGCCAUUUCUUUUCUGUAAGUCCUGAAGAUUCUGAAAAGAAACGCACUAAUUAUCAAGCUUAUCGAAGCUACUUAAAUCGAGAAGGUCCCAAGGCUCUGGGCUCCAAAGAAAUACCAAAGGGAGCUGAAAAUUGCUUGGAAGGCCUUAUAUUUGUAAUCACAGGCGUGCUGGAGUCUAUUGAACGAGAUGAGGCCAAGUCUCUAAUUGAACGUUAUGGGGGAAAAGUAACAGGAAAUGUCAGCAAGAAAACAAAUUAUCUUGUCAUGGGUCGUGAUAGUGGACAGUCC
Molecule: small RNA, 484 nt
Filed under: Pan troglodytes (chimpanzee)
Lineage: Eukaryota; Metazoa; Chordata; Mammalia; Primates; Hominidae
Description: processed transcript
Source: RNAcentral